UCGGAUGUGGUGCAUGGCGCACAACAGCUCCUGUUAAUGGCUAACCAUAAUGUAUCAUUGUUGCAGGCUGAAGGUCGGGGUUCGACUCCCCGCGUCCGAA
This is a non-coding RNA of Mycena rebaudengoi, 100 nucleotides long. Lineage: Eukaryota; Fungi; Basidiomycota; Agaricomycetes; Agaricales; Mycenaceae. The record is from the annotation of a GenBank genome assembly.